Molecule: ribosomal RNA, 1079 nt
Filed under: uncultured bacterium
Lineage: Bacteria
Description: bacterial SSU rRNA
Rfam family: Bacterial small subunit ribosomal RNA
Source: RNAcentral
CCCUGCUUUUGUGGGGUGCUCGAGUGGCGAACGGGUGAGUAACACGUGAGUAACCUGCCCUUGACUUUGGGAUAACUUCAGGAAACUGGGGCUAAUACCGGAUAGGAGCUCCUGCUGCAUGGUGGGGGUUGGAAAGUUUCGGCGGUUGGGGAUGGACUCGCGGCUUAUCAGCUUGUUGGUGGGGUAGUGGCUUACCAAGGCUUUGACGGGUAGCCGGCCUGAGAGGGUGACCGGCCACAUUGGGACUGAGAUACGGCCCAGACUCCUACGGGAGGCAGCAGUGGGGAAUAUUGCACAAUGGGAGGAAGCCUGAUGCAGCAACGCCGCGUGCGGGAUGACGGCCUUCGGGUUGUAAACCGCUUUCGCCUGUGACGAAGCGUGAGUGACGGUAAUGGGUAAAGAAGCACCGGCUAACUACGUGCCAGCAGCCGCGGUGAUACGUAGGGUGCGAGCGUUGUCCGGAUUUAUUGGGCGUAAAGGGCUCGUAGGUGGUUGAUCGCGUCGGAAGUGUAAUCUUGGGGCUUAACCCUGAGCGUGCUUUCGAUACGGGUUGACUUGAGGAAGGUAGGGGAGAAUGGAAUUCCUGGUGGAGCGGUGGAAUGCGCAGAUAUCAGGAGGAACACCAGUGGCGAAGGCGGUUCUCUGGGCCUUUCCUGACGCUGAGGAGCGAAAGCGUGGGGAGCGAACAGGCUUAGAUACCCUGGUAGUCCACGCUGUAAACGGUGGGUACUAGGUGUGGGGUCCAUUCCACGGGUUCCGUGCCGUAGCUAACGCUUUAAGUACCCCGCCUGGGGAGUACGGCCGCAAGGCUAAAACUCAAAGGAAUUGACGGGGCCCCGCACAAGCGGCGGAGCAUGCGGAUUAAUUCGAUGCAACGCGUAGAACCUUACCUGGGUUUGACAUGGAUCGGGAGUGCUCAGAGAUGGGUGUGCCUCUUUUGGGGUCGGUUCACAGGUGGUGCAUGGCUGUCGUCAGCUCGUGUCGUGAGAUGUUGGGUUAAGUCCCGCAACGAGCGCAACCCUUGUUCACUGUUGCCAGCACGUUAUGGUGGGGACUCAGUGGAGACCGCCGGGGUCAAC